Molecule: long non-coding RNA, 1000 nt
Filed under: Phaseolus vulgaris (common bean)
Lineage: Eukaryota; Viridiplantae; Streptophyta; Magnoliopsida; Fabales; Fabaceae
Description: long non-coding RNA (PVUL_LNC001239)
Source: RNAcentral
UAAAGUUAUCUGAAUCAUAACUUAAACGUUAUUCACCAAUCUUGGUCAGAAAUUCAAUUAAUUCACCGUUCAUUCGGUCGAAAGAUAUAACGAAAGUUAUCCGAAUUAUAACUUAAACGUUAUUCACCAAAUCUUGGUCAGAAAUUCAAUUAAUUCACCGUUCAUUCGAUCGGAAGAUAUAACGAAUGUUAUCCGAAUUGUAACUUAAACGUUAUUCACCAAUCUUGGUCAGAAAUUCAAUUAAAUUAACUAACCGUUCACUCGGUCAGAAAUUCAAUUAAAUUACCUUAGUCAGAAAUUCAAUUAAAUUAUAUAUAAAUGUCCAAGUUACGCGCGACAUCAAAUUCUUCAUCAAAGCACCGUCGUCCGGUAUUAAAUUGCGUGGUAGUAGCAACAUGAAAAUAAAUUCGAUAGCAAAAAGUAAAAUAGUUCAAAACACGCCACAAAGCAAUAAAAUUGUCUUUAGCCCACACCCCGAGCCCAGGUAAUGAAAAUAUUAAACAAUAUCAAGGGUGUCAUCCGGUUGCAUCGACUCCUCCGGCGGUACGGUAUCAUCUGCACGUGGCAUCUCUUCGGCGUCCUCGUCCCCCAGAGGCAUCAGACGGCCGCCCACAACAUCCAUGUUCGAGUCGUAUCGCUCAUCGUCGUCCGGCACCCCAUGGAAAAAGGCAACCUGCCGAACUCCCUGCCUGAAUGACUCUUCGUUGAUGCGCAACAUGAACCCUCGCAGCUGUUCAACUUGAGCACUCAACAAUUUCUGCACCACAAACACGAAGGUAAGAUACAAAUAUGCUAUCAGCCGAACGACCGCAAGAAGAAGGUGCUCACCAUUUAGAUCCACCCACUGCUUGGACGACCCGUAAAGGGCUAUCAGUUCCCGCGUAGGGAGCCUACACGGUAGUUAAUUCACGACCAUCCAUGCAUCACAUCUCUGCCACAUAUUAAUGAUGCCAGCUAUCACGCAUUGUUUCAAUAACCCCCUGAGCCUUAUACGACUCUU